This 301-nucleotide ribosomal RNA is filed under the name uncultured bacterium. RNAcentral's name for it is "partial 16S ribosomal RNA". It matches the Rfam family "Bacterial small subunit ribosomal RNA", at positions 509 to 807 of the family's 1533-position model. The record is from RNAcentral.
CAGUAGCCGCGGUAAUACAGAGGGUGCGAGCGUUAAUCGGAUUUACUGGGCGUAAAGCGUGCGUAGGCGGCUUCUUAAGUCGGAUGUGAAAUCCCUGAGCUUAACUUAGGAAUUGCAUUCGAUACUGGGAAGCUAGAGUAUGGGAGAGGAUGGUAGAAUUCCAGGUGUAGCGGUGAAAUGCGUAGAGAUCUGGAGGAAUACCGAUGGCGAAGGCAGCCAUCUGGCCUAAUACUGUCGCUGAGGUACGAAAGCAUGGGGAGCAAACAGGAUUAGAUACCCGCGUAGUCCCUGUCUCUUAUAC